CGGUGAAGGAGAGCUUGCUCUUUGGAUCAGUGGCGAACGGGUGAGUAACACGUGAGCAAUCUGCCCCUGACUCUGGGAUAACAGUUGGAAACAGCUGCUAAUACCGGAUACGAGACGUGACCGCAUGGUCGACGUUUGGAAAGAAUUUCGGUCAGGGAUGAGCUCGCGGCCUAUCAGCUUGUUGGUGAGGUAAUGGCUCACCAAGGCGUCGACGGGUAGCCGGCCUGAGAGGGUGACCGGCCACACUGGGACUGAGACACGGCCCAGACUCCUACGGGAGGCAGCAGUGGGGAAUAUUGCACAAUGGGCGAAAGCCUGAUGCAGCAACGCCGCGUGAGGGACGACGGCCUUCGGGUUGUAAACCUCUUUUAGCAGGGAAGAAGCGAAAGUGACGGUACCUGCAGAAAAAGCGCCGGCUAACUACGUGCCAGCAGCCGCGGUAAUACGUAGGGCGCAAGCGUUAUCCGGAAUUAUUGGGCGUAAAGAGCUCGUAGGCGGUUUGUCGCGUCUGCUGUGAAAACUGGAGGCUCAACCUCCAGCCUGCAGUGGGUACGGGCAGACUAGAGUGCGGUAGGGGAGAUUGGAAUUCCUGGUGUAGCGGUGGAAUGCGCAGAUAUCAGGAGGAACACCGAUGGCGAAGGCAGAUCUCUGGGCCGUAACUGACGCUGAGGAGCGAAAGGGUGGGGAGCAAACAGGCUUAGAUACCCUGGUAGUCCACCCCGUAAACGUUGGGAACUAGUUGUGGGGUCCAUUCCACGGAUUCCGUGACGCAGCUAACGCAUUAAGUUCCCCGCCUGGGGAGUACGGCCGCAAGGCUAAAACUCAAAGGAAUUGACGGGGACCCGCACAAGCGGCGGAGCAUGCGGAUUAAUUCGAUGCAACGCGAAGAACCUUACCAAGGCUUGACAUAUACGAGAACGGGCUAGAAAUAGUCAACUCUUUGGACACUCGUAAACAGGUGGUGCAUGGUUGUCGUCAGCUCGUGUCGUGA
This 991-nucleotide ribosomal RNA is filed under the name Microbacterium sp. RNAcentral's name for it is "bacterial SSU rRNA". It matches the Rfam family "Bacterial small subunit ribosomal RNA", at positions 67 to 1070 of the family's 1533-position model. The record is from RNAcentral. Lineage: Bacteria; Bacillati; Actinomycetota; Actinomycetes; Micrococcales; Microbacteriaceae.